AAGGAAUUGCCCUGUAGAUUCCGGAGAGGGGCGGGGAGAGGGAAGGGGUGUUGCCCUUGACUCCCUUGAAGUUCAAAGUUCUUUUUUGCUCUGGUGAGGAAAAACCCCCUCUGCCUUCAACCCACUCGAGAAAUCAGCCUCAGGCAGCGCCGCGGCUGGAGGGGAUUACCCGAAGAGGUUGAGCCCAGAGUGCCCCUGACCGGCAAGGGCGGGGUUGGACAUCCCAGGGGCCCGGAGGUGGGUUUGUUUGGGGGACAGAGACCUCUUUUUUCCCCUAACUUUUAGAGGGUCACCCAGGACUGGCAGGUUCCUGGGCUUGAAUCCUAGAAGCUUUUGUUUUUCUUUCACUAUGUCACUCUGCGUUUUCCUUCAGAAAUCCUUCUAGAGCCGGGGACCUUUUCU
RNAcentral lists this long non-coding RNA (402 nucleotides) under Bos indicus x Bos taurus (hybrid cattle). RNAcentral describes it as "lncRNA (ENSBIXG00005001682.1)". The record is from RNAcentral. Lineage: Eukaryota; Metazoa; Chordata; Mammalia; Artiodactyla; Bovidae.